Molecule: ribosomal RNA, 451 nt
Filed under: Quadriplicata dipolauchen
Lineage: Eukaryota; Metazoa; Mollusca; Gastropoda; Stylommatophora; Clausiliidae
Description: partial 16S ribosomal RNA
Rfam family: Archaeal large subunit ribosomal RNA (bases 1-186)
Source: RNAcentral
UGCUAUCUGAAUAUAUGGAUAGUUAGCUCUGCCCAGUGAUUAAGUUUUAACGGCCGCAGUACACUGACUGUGCAAAGGUAGCAUAAUCAUUUGGCUUUUAAAUGAAGUCGGGUAUGAAUGAGUUAAUGGGGUUAAGCUGUCUCUAUUUCUUUACCUAGAAUUUGCUAAGAAAGUGAAAAUACUUUCGAUUAAAAUUAUUAGACGAGAAGACCCUAUAAAUUUUAACCAAGAAGUAUUUAACAACUUUAAGUUUUUGUUGGGGCAACAAGCUAACAGAAGUAAGUUUAAUCUAGCUAUAAAAAUUAGGUGUUUCGAGUUUUACUAGUAAAAAUUAAAUUACUUUAGGGAUAACAGCAUAAUUUUAUUAAUAAGAUUGUGACCUCGAUGUUGGACUAGGGACUAAUUAGAUCAAACAUUUAAUUAGAAGGUUCUGUUCGAACUGCUAUUACCU